Molecule: RNase P RNA, 350 nt
Filed under: Oscillospiraceae bacterium
Lineage: Bacteria; Bacillati; Bacillota; Clostridia; Eubacteriales; Oscillospiraceae
Description: RNase P RNA component class A
Rfam family: Bacterial RNase P class A
About the family: Ribonuclease P (RNase P) is a ubiquitous endoribonuclease, found in archaea, bacteria and eukarya as well as chloroplasts and mitochondria. Its best characterised activity is the generation of mature 5'-ends of tRNAs by cleaving the 5'-leader elements of precursor-tRNAs.
Source: RNAcentral
CGAGUGGAUUGAGCAGUUGCGGGUAUAAGCCGAAAGGCUGUAUCCGAGGAAAGUCCGAGCUCCAUAGAGCAAGAAUAACGGCUAACGGCCGCCGGGGGCGACCCUAGGGAUAGUGCAACAGAGAUAUACCGCCUGAUUUUUUCAGGUAAGGGUGGAAAGGCGAGGUAAGAGCUCACCGGAGUCGGGGAGACCCGAUUGCCCUGUAAACCCUAUUCGGAGCAACACCGUGGUAAGACAUAAUGCGUCUGCUCGGCGCGUCUUUUGGAGGUGGCAUUGAGCAGUGGUGGUAACAUCCUGCCAAGAUAGAUGACUGCUUACAACAGAACUCGGCUUAUAGAUUCACUCACAUA